RNAcentral lists this unclassified non-coding RNA (434 nucleotides) under uncultured bacterium. RNAcentral describes it as "contains 16S-23S intergenic spacer region". The record is from RNAcentral.
UCGGUGUGUACAAGACCCGGGAACGUAUUCACCGCGACAUUCUGAUUCGCGAUUACUAGUAACUCCAGCUUCAUGUAGGCGAGUUUCAGCCUACAAUCCGAACUGAGACUGGUUUUUAAGUUUGGCUCCACCUCGCGGUAUUGCAUCUCUCUGUACCAGCCAUUGUAGCACGUGUGUAGCCCUACACAUAAGGGGCAUGAUGAUUUGACGUCAUCCCCACCUUCCUCCUGGUUAACCCAGGCAGUCUCGCUAGAGUCCUCAACUUAAUGGUAGUAACUAACGACAAGGGUUGCGCUCGUUGCGGGACUUAACCCAACAUCUCACGACACGAGCUGACGACAACCAUGCACCACCUGUCACCUUGUCCCCGAAGGGAUUUCCUCGAUUAGGAGUAAUGCAAGGGAUGUCAAGUGUAGGUAAGGUUCUUCGCGUUA